Molecule: small nuclear RNA, 164 nt
Filed under: Tupaia belangeri chinensis (Chinese tree shrew)
Lineage: Eukaryota; Metazoa; Chordata; Mammalia; Scandentia; Tupaiidae
Description: Tupaia chinensis (Chinese tree shrew) U1 spliceosomal RNA
Rfam family: U1 spliceosomal RNA
About the family: U1 is a small nuclear RNA (snRNA) component of the spliceosome (involved in pre-mRNA splicing).
Source: Rfam by way of RNAcentral
AUACUUACCUGGCAGGGGAGAUACCAUGAUCACGAAGGUGGUUUUCCCAGGGCGAGGCUUAUCCAUUGCACUCUGGAUGUGCUGACCCCUGUGAUUUCCCCAAAUGUGGGAAACUCCACUGCAUAAUUUGUGGUAGUGGGUGACUGCGUUUGCGCUCUCCCCUA